UACGUAGGGUGCGAGCGUUGUCCGGAAUCAUUGGGCGUAAAGCGCGCGCAGGCGGCCAGAUAAGUCCGGUGUGAAAGUCACAGGCUCAACCUGUGAAUGCCGCUGGAAACUGUCUGGCUAGAGUCCGGAAGGGGCGAGUGGAAUUCCUGGUGUAGCGGUGAAAUGCGCAGAUAUCAGGAGGAACACCAGUGGCGAAGGCGGUGCUCUGGGCCGGAACUGACGCUGAGGAGCGAAAGCGUGGGGAGCAAACAGG
Molecule: ribosomal RNA, 253 nt
Filed under: uncultured bacterium
Lineage: Bacteria
Description: partial 16S ribosomal RNA
Rfam family: Bacterial small subunit ribosomal RNA
Source: RNAcentral